RNAcentral lists this ribosomal RNA (497 nucleotides) under uncultured bacterium. Its description in RNAcentral is "partial 16S ribosomal RNA". It matches the Rfam family "Bacterial small subunit ribosomal RNA", at positions 28 to 507 of the family's 1533-position model. The record is from RNAcentral.
GAUGAACGCUGGCGGCGUGCCUAAUACAUGCAAGUCGAGCGAACAGACGAGGCGCUUGCUCCUCUGACGUUAGCGGCGGACGGGUGAGUAACACGUGGAUAACCUACCUAUAAGACUGGGAUAACUUCGGGAAACCGGAGCUAAUACCGGAUAAUAUAUUGAACCGCAUGGUUCAAUAGUGAAAGACGGUUUUGCUGUCACUUAUAGAUGGAUCCGCGCCGCAUUAGCUAGUUGGUAAGGUAACGGCUUACCAAGGCAACGAUGCGUAGCCGACCUGAGAGGGUGAUCGGCCACACUGGAACUGAGACACGGCCCAGACUCCUACGGGAGGCAGCAGUAGGGAAUCUUCCGCAAUGGGCGAAAGCCUGACGGAGCAACGCCGCGUGAGUGAUGAAGGUCUUCGGAUCGUAAAACUCUGUUAUUAGGGAAGAACAAAUGUGUAAGUAACUAUGCACGUCUUGACGGUACCUAAUCAGAAAGCCACGGCUAACUACGUG